Molecule: long non-coding RNA, 1297 nt
Organism: Oreochromis aureus
Lineage: Eukaryota; Metazoa; Chordata; Actinopteri; Cichliformes; Cichlidae
Exons: 3
Source: RefSeq, a predicted model, not a curated record
ACCAAUAUUAUGAGGGAGAGAGGAGAGAAGCAGAGCCGGGAUUGGUCUGUGCGUGAAAACAGAUGCCGGGGAAAGGAGAUGUUGGAGGAUUCCUUUAUAUAACCCGGGUGGAAAAAAGAUACAGCGGUGAGGCAGAAGGGGAAAAGGAGAGGAGAGAAUCUAUCCACGAGCAUCUCCAAACAGAAACAGAUGCUCACUUUAGCGAACUACAGCCAUAUUAUUCCUGAUGCCAGAUAAAGGAUAGGUGAGAUAGCAGCAGGACCUGAGAUCAUCCGUCUGACAGCUAAGAGGUGGCUGAAAUGGUGUCAUGCAACAGGACAAUGAUGUGAAACAGCAGCACAUCUAUAACAGAUCAGCUGAAAAAGGAAAGAAUUUUGGUGCUGCAAUGACCCAGUCAAAGUCCAGAUGUCAACCUUGCAUGAAAGGCUGUGGUGGGACCUUAAGAGAUAUGCAUAAAUGAAAUCCUGCAAACCUCAAUGAACUGAAGCAAUGCUGUAAAGAAGACUGGACCACAAGCCAAACAGGAAAUAAGUUCAAGUUGUUGCUGCUGAAGUUGGUUCUACAAGCUCCUGAGUCAUGGGGUGUAGUUAGUUUUUCCACAUGCUGCUUCUGCACUUUGGCUCAGUUUUUUCUUCAAUUAAUAAUGACACGGUGUAAUAUUUCAUGUGUUGUUCUUCAUCUGAGGUCGAAUUUCAAUAAUUUUUAAGAUCUGACUGGACAAUUUUCUUUAUUUAUAACCCAAGAAAUGAAAGAGUGUGUACUUUCUUUUUACCAUGCAUGUAUAUAUAUCACUACAAUUCGUGAACAUUAACUCCCCCCUUAUUUUGUUCUACUUAUCAAGUUAUACCUCACAGCCUUAGGAAGAUGAACAUACAGUAAGACCUUGCAGGCUGUUUUACCUGGGGGUUUCCAGAUGAUGAGAUUCAGAAUAAUUCAUUCAUUCAUAUACUGAAUAUUUAAUAAAAUGGCAUGGGGCAAUAUGUGAAAGGCUUAUUUCAUGUUAAAGUGUUUUUUUAAGGCUAUAAAAUAAUGUGUGUCCACAUAUUGAGGUCAGCGUAGACGGCCAUGGCACAAAAAGUCCUUAUAUAUCCAUUUUAGUUAUGUCUUAGAAGCUAAUCUUAAAAUUCUAGUGAAUAUAAGAGAAUAGCUAAUAAGCUCUGCAGGAUGGCUUAAAAAGAGCCUAUUUCCUUCAGAGAACUUCAUAUUUUCACAAUGGAAGCUUUUCACCUGGCAGGAAUGAUCUGCAGGUGUGUGCUGUGGCUGGCAUGUGUGAAUUCAAAAGUUUAGGCCAUUUAUG